UACGGGGGGAGCAAGCGUUGUUCGGAUUUACUGGGCGUAAAGGGCGCGUAGGCGGUCAGCACAAGUCAGUUGUGAAAUCUCCGGGCUUAACUCGGAAGGGUCAACUGAUACUGUGCGACUAGAGUGCGGAAGGGGCAACUGGAAUUCUCGGUGUAGCGGUGAAAUGCGUAGAUAUCGAGAGGAACACCUGCGGCGAAGGCGGGUUGCUGGGCCGACACUGACGCUGAUGCGCGAAAGCCAGGGGAGCGAACAGG
RNAcentral lists this ribosomal RNA (254 nucleotides) under uncultured bacterium. RNAcentral's name for it is "partial 16S ribosomal RNA". It matches the Rfam family "Bacterial small subunit ribosomal RNA", at positions 524 to 776 of the family's 1533-position model. The record is from RNAcentral.